This 658-nucleotide ribosomal RNA is filed under the name uncultured bacterium. Its description in RNAcentral is "bacterial SSU rRNA". It matches the Rfam family "Bacterial small subunit ribosomal RNA", at positions 8 to 692 of the family's 1533-position model. The record is from RNAcentral.
AGAGUUUGAUCCUGGCUCAGGACGAACGCUGGCGGUGUGCUUCACACAUGCAAGUCGAACGGAGUAGCAAUACUCAGUGGCGGACGGGUGAGUAACACGUGGGAAUCUACCAUUAGGUGGGGAAUAACAGGCCGAAAGGACUGCUAAUGCCGCAUAUGUAGGCAUCUCGACAGAGAUGUUUAUGAAAGGAGUAAUCCGCCUUUUGAUGAGCCCGCGUCCGAUUAGCUAGUUGGUAGGGUAAAAGCCUACCAAGGCGACGAUCGGUAGGUGGUCUGAGAGGAUGAUCACCCACAAUGGGACUGAGACACGGCCCAUACUCCUACGGGAGGCAGCAGUGGGGAAUUUUACGCAAUGGGGGAAACCCUGACGUAGCGACACCGCGUGAGCGAAGAAGCCCUUUGGGGUGUAAAGCUCUGUCAACAGGAACGAAACAAAUGACGGUACCUGUGGAGGAAGCAUCGGCUAACUACGUGCCAGCAGCCGCGGUAAGACGUAGGAUGCAAGCGUUGUCCGGAUUUAUUGGGCGUAAAGAGUUCGUAGGCGGUUUGUUAAGUCUGAUGUUAAAGACCGGGGCUCAACCUCGGAAAUGCAUUGGAUGCUGGCAGACUGGAGUGCAGUAGAGGCUAGUGGAAUUCCCAGUGUAGCGGUGAAAUGCGUA